GUAAGGGCAUACGAUGGAUGCCUUGGUACCAGGAGUCGAUGAAGGACGUGAUAAGCUGCGAUAAGCCUCGGGUAGCUGCAAGUGAGCUUCGAUCCGAGGAUUUCCGAAUGGGGCAACCCAGUUGGGGUAAUGCCCAACUAUGCGCAUCUGAAUACAUAGGAUGCGAAGGACAACCGGGGGAAUUGAAACAUCUUAGUACCCCGAGGAAGAGAAAGAAAUUUCGAUUCCCUUAGUAGCGGCGAGCGAAGAGGGAAGAGCCCAAACCCAUCGGGCGUGAUAGCCUGCAGGCGUUUCUCGGUGGGGGUUGUAGGGGUUAUCAGGUUUUUCUGCAGAAGAACCAGAGAGUUACAAAGUCGAUAUUUAGCUGAAAGACUUGGAACAGUCUGUCACAGAGGGUGAAAACCCCGUAAGCGAAAGGUAUCGAUCUCUCAAUAACUUCCUAAGUACGGCGGGACACGAGAAAUCCUGUCGGAAUCUGCGAGGACCACCUCGCAAGGCUAAAUACUCCCUGGUGACCGAUAGCGAACUAGUACCGUGAGGGAAAGGUGAAAAGCACCCCGGGAGGGGAGUGAAAUAGUACCUGAAAUCGUAUGCUUACAAGCAGUUCGAGCCCCGACUUGUCGGGGUGAGAGCGUGCCUUUUGUAGAAUGAGCCGGCGAGUUACUGGUAUCUAGCAAGGUUAAGCCGUAUGGUGGAGCCGCAGCGAAAGCAAGUCUGAAUAGGGCGAUUAGUUAGAUGCCGUAGACCUGAAGCCGAGUGAUCUAUCCAUGGCCAGGGUGAAGCUCCGGUAAAACGGAGUGGAGGCCCGAACCCACCAGCGUUGAAAAGCUGGGGGAUGAGCUGUGGAUCGGAGUGAAAGGCUAAUCAAACUCGGUAAUAUCUGGUUCUCCUCGAAAUAGCUUUAGGGCUAGCCUCAAGCGUUUAGUUUUGGUGGUAGAGCACUGAUUGGACUAGGGGCCCUCACAGGUUACCAAACCCAGUCAAACUCCGAAUACCAAAACUUUAGAGCUUGGGAGUCAGACUAUGGGGGCUAAGCUCCUUAGUCGAAAGGGAAACAGCCCAGACCGUCAGCUAAGGUCCCUAAGUAUGAACUAAGUGGAAAAGGAAGUGGAAGCGCACAGACAGCCAGGAUGUUGGCUUAGAAGCAGCAAUCAUUUGAAGAGUGCGUAAUAGCUCACUGGUUAAGCGAAUCUGCGCCGACAAUUAUCGGGGCUCAAGUUCAUCACCGAAGCUACGGACUUAUCUUUGAUGAGUGGUAGAGGAGCAUUCCCUGUUGGACGAAGUCAAUUCGUGAGGAUUGGUGGACGACAGGGAAGAGCGAAUGCCGGCAUAAGUAGCGAGAGACGGGCGAGAAACCCGUCCGCCGUAAACCCAAGGUUUCCUGGGGAAGGUUAAUCCGCCCAGGGUUAGUCGGGACCUAAGCCGAGGCCGAGAGGCGUAGGCGAUGGACAGCUGGUAGAUAUUCCAGCACCACCGAGUUGCGACUAAGACGUGAUGGGGUGACGCAGUAGGGUAGACCAUGCGCGGCGUUGGUCGUCCGCGUCUAAGCAUGUAGGGGGCCGGAAUAGGUAAAUCCGUUCUGGUAUCAAACCCUGAGGUGUGAUGGCGAGCCGAUUGAGGCGAAGUGGUUGAUCCCACACUGCCAAGAAAAACCUCUAGCGAGCAACUAGGUGCCCGUACCCCAAACCGACACAGGUGGGUGGGGAGAGAAUCCCAAGGCGAUCGAGUGAUCCCUCGUUAAGGAACUCGGCAAAAUUACCCCGUAACUUCGGGAGAAGGGGUCCCUCAUUAGCGUGAUUGCCCUGCGGCAUGAGCGUGAAGAGGGUGCAGUGAAAAGGCCCAAGCGACUGUUUACUAAAAACACAGGUCUCUGCUAAGUCGUAAGACGAUGUAUAGGGGCUGACGCCUGCCCGGUGCCGGAAGGUUACGAGGAGAUGUUAGCGAGUCGUUAAGGCAAGCGAAGCAUUGAAUCUAAGCCCCGGUAAACGGCGGCCGUAACUAUAGACUGGACCACUGUAGUUAUAAAAUCUGGCU
RNAcentral lists this ribosomal RNA (2034 nucleotides) under sediment metagenome. RNAcentral describes it as "bacterial LSU rRNA". It matches the Rfam family "Bacterial large subunit ribosomal RNA", at positions 1 to 1974 of the family's 2925-position model. The record is from RNAcentral.